Molecule: long non-coding RNA, 507 nt
Organism: Cotesia glomerata
Lineage: Eukaryota; Metazoa; Arthropoda; Insecta; Hymenoptera; Braconidae
Exons: 3
Source: RefSeq, a predicted model, not a curated record
UUAUGAAAAAUUUAUUUCAUCGCGAGUUAUAAGUGCAUAUUAUAGCAUGCUAAUUAACAAUUCGAUUAAUCACACAAUUAACUUUAUUUUUUAAUUAUAAAUAUCAGAAAAUAUUGACAACCUUUAAUUUUCACAGACUCGAUGAAGACCUUGCCAAAAAAAAAAAUGUUGGAAUCACCGUGGAGUACACUGUUCAAAUUGAUCUAAACUGCUCAUUUUUCCGAAGAGGGAUUUUUUGCCAUAAGCAAAUAACGACAAGUUUGCCGUUUACUUUAAUGCAUCCAGAACCUCCAGAAGAAUUAUCUGUGCCUCCAUUACCUCAACCGACUCCAGCUGUUCCAUUACCAUCUACUUCUAAACAUGACCCUGGAUUUGUUGAUGCCAACCUCAUAGAAUUCGAAGGCGAUGAUGACGUAGACCUUAUAUUCGAAGAUUUCGCGCGUGAACGAAUAAGGGAAUGAACAGAUACCUGAUUAUAUUACGUCCAUAUAUACUUCAGUAAUGAAA